GUGGUCGGUGUACAGGUGGUGCAUGGUUGUCGUCAGCUCGUGUCGUGAGAUGUUGGUUAAGUCCCGCAACGAGCGCAACCCCUAUCUUUAAUUGCCAUCAUUCAGUUGGGCACUUUAAAGAGACUGCCGGUGUUAAACCGGAGGAAGGUGGGAUGACGUCAAGUCCUCAUGGCCUUUAUGCCUAGGGCUACACACGUGCUACAAUGGGUGGUACAAAGAGCAGCCAACUCGCGAGAGCGCGCUAAUCUCAAAAAGCCAUCCUCAGUUCGGAUUGGAGUCUGCAACUCGACUCCAUGAAGUUGGAAUCGCUAGUAAUCGCGGAUCAGCAUGCCGCGGUGAAUACGUUCCCGGGCCUU
Molecule: ribosomal RNA, 356 nt
Filed under: uncultured Smithella sp.
Lineage: Bacteria; Pseudomonadati; Thermodesulfobacteriota; Syntrophia; Syntrophales; Smithellaceae
Description: bacterial SSU rRNA
Rfam family: Bacterial small subunit ribosomal RNA
Source: RNAcentral